CAGUACCGUGAGGGAAAGGUGAAAAGAACCCCGGGAGGGGAGUGAAAUAGUACCUGAAACCGCAUGCCUACAAUCAGUGGGAGGACGAUGUCUUCGGACCGUCUGACCGCGUGCCUAUUGCAUAAUGAGCCGGCGAGUUACCUUGUGUGGCCAGGCUAAGGGCUUCUGGUCCAUAGCCGUAGCGAAAGCGAGUCUGAAUAGGGCGACUAGUCGCACAGGGUAGACCCGAAACCGAGUGAUCUAUCCAUGGCCAGGGUGAAGUUUCCGUAAAAGGAAAUGGAGGCCCCAACCAAUGGCAGUUGAAAAUGCUUUGGAUGAGCUGUGGAUAGGGGUGAAAGGCCAAUCAAACUCGGCAAUAGCUGGUUCUCCUCGAAAUAGUUUUGGGACUAGCCUCGCAUGGUAGCCGACGGGGGUAGAGCACUGAAUGGGCUAGGGGUCCUACCAGACUACCGAACCCAAUCAAACUCCGAAUACCGUUGGUGGAACUGCGGGAGUCAGACUGUGGGGGAUAAGCUCCAUGGUCAAAAGGGAAAGAGCCCAGAUCGCCAGCUAAGGUCCCUAAACUGAGCUAAGUGGGAAAGGAUGUGUAACUGCCCAGACAACCAGGAUGUUGGCUUAGAAGCAGCCAUUCAUUUAAAGAGUGCGUAACAGCUCACUGGUCAAGUGAUUAUGCGCCGAAGAUGUACCGGGGCUAAGCUCAGUACCGAAGCUGCGAAUCGCGCCUUCGGGCGUGAUGGUAGAGGAGCAUUCCAUUCAGGAUUGAAGCACGAUCGAAAGAACGUGUGGACCGUAUGGAAGAGAUCAUGCCGGCAUCAGUAACGAAAAAGCAGGUGAGAAACCUGCUCGCCGAAAAUCCAAGGGUUCCCGGGGAAGGAUAAUCCGCCCGGGGUUAGUCGGAGCCUAAGCCGAGGCCGAAAGGCGUAGGCGAUGGGAAACAGGCACAAAGAUUCCUGUACCACCGCGCCAUCGUUUGAGCGAUGGGGUGACGCAGGAGGAUAGGGCGGCCGUCUGUUGGCUUAGACGGUCUAAGCGUGUGGGAGGUAGCCCAGGCAAAUCCGGGCUGCAAUACUCCGAGGCGUUAAGGGACGUGGAUGGGAAACUUGAAGCGGAUCGCUCGAUUCCAUACUGCCAAGAAAAACCUCUAGCGAGGUGGCCGGUGUCCGUACCGUAAACCGACACAGGUGGAUGAGAAGAGGAUUCUAAGGCGCUCGGGAGACCACUCCUUAAGGAACUCGACCAAUUGGCCCCGUAACUUCGGAAGAAGGGGUGCUCUGGCCGGUGAAGGACUUGCUCCGUAAGCUGGCUGGAGUCGCAGCGAAGAGGUUCAGGCGACUGUUUACUAAAAACACAGGUCUCUGCAAAGUCGCAAGACGACGUAUAGGGACUGACGCCUGCCCAAUGCCGGAAGGUUAACGGGAGGAGUCAACGCUUCGGCGUGAAGCUCUGAACCGAAGCCCCGGUUAAUGGCGGCCGUAACUAUAACGGUCCUAAGGUAGCGAAAUUCCUUGUCGGGUAAGUUCCGACCUGCACGAAUGGCGUAACGAUCUGAACAUUGUCUCAAGGAGUGACCCGGUGAAGUUGUAUUACCAGUGAAGAUGCUGGUUACCCGCAGAAGGACGGAAAGACCCCGUGCACCUUUACUACAGCUUGAUAUUGACUUUCGUUUUAGCUUGUAUAGGAUAGGUGGGAGGCGUCGAGACCGGGGCGUCAGCUUCGGUGGAGCCACCCUUGGAAUACCACCCUUGUUAAAAUGGAAGCCUAACCCUGAACCCGUGAAGCCGGGCAGGGGACAGUGUCUGGUGGGUAGUUUGACUGGGGCGGUCGCCUCACAAAGAGUAACUGAGGCGCCCAAAGGUUCCCUCAGCAUGUUUGGAAAUCAUGCGCAGAGCGUAAAGGUAGAAGGGAGCUUGACUGCGAGACCAACAAGUCGAGCAGGUACGAAAGUAGGGCUUAGUGAUCCAGCGGUUCCGUAUGGAAGGGCCGUUGCUCAACGGAUAAAAGGUACCCCGGGGAUAACAGGCUUAUCUCCCCCAAGAGUUCACAUCGACGGGGAGGU
This 2056-nucleotide ribosomal RNA is filed under the name bioreactor metagenome. RNAcentral describes it as "bacterial LSU rRNA". It matches the Rfam family "Bacterial large subunit ribosomal RNA", at positions 496 to 2517 of the family's 2925-position model. The record is from RNAcentral.